Molecule: ribosomal RNA, 861 nt
Filed under: uncultured archaeon
Lineage: Archaea
Description: bacterial SSU rRNA
Rfam family: Archaeal small subunit ribosomal RNA
Source: RNAcentral
CCCACUGCUAUCGGGAUAGGACUAAGACAUGCUAGUCGAGCGCCUCCCAGCCACGACGGAGGCGCGGCGCACAGCUCAGUAACACGUGGCUAACCUGCCCUCGGGACGGGAAUACCCCCGGGAAACUGGGGCUAAUUCCCGAUAGGUGAAGAACUCUGGAAUGAGUCUCCGCCCAAAAGACGCUUAAAUCAUGCUUUUAGGCGCCGCCCAAGGAUGGGGCCGCGACCGAUCAGGUAGUUGGUGAGGCAACGGCUCACCAAGCCUUUAACCGGUGCGGGCCGUGGGAGCGGGAGCCCGGAGAUGGGCACUGAGACAAGGGCCCAGGCCCUACGGGGCGCAGCAGUCGCGAAAACUUUGCAAUACACGAAAGUGUGACAGGGCUAUCCCGAGUGCCAUCCGCUGAGGAAGGCUUUUACCCAGUCUAGAAAGCUGGGAGAAUAAGGAGAGGGCAAGUCUGGUGUCAGCCGCCGCGGUAAUACCAGCUCUCCGAGUGGUGUGGAUGUUUAUUGGGCCUAAAGCAUCCGUAGCUGGCCAAGUUAGUCCCCUGUUAAAUCCACCGAAUUAAUCGUUGGAGUGCGGGGGAUACUGCUCGGCUAGGGGACGAGAGAGGCCGACGGUAUUUUCGGGGUAGGGGUGAAAUCCUAUAAUCCCGGGAAGACCACCAGUGGCGAAGGCUGUCGGCUAGAACGCGCCCGACGGUGAGGGAUGAAAGCUGGGGGAGCGAACCGGAUUAGAUACCCGGGUAGUCCCAGCUGUAAACGAUGCAGGCUAGGUGUUUGGGCGGCCACGGGCCGCUCUAGUGCCGCAGGGAAGCUGUUAAGCCUGCCGCCUGGGGAGUACGGCCGCAAGGCUGAAACUUAA